UAUUGGUCAAUGGUCGGGAGACUGAACCAGCCAAUCCGCGUGAGGGAUGAGGGUACAGAGUAUCGUAAACCUCUUUUGUCAGGGAACGAAGGCGGGGAGGCGUCCCCGGAUGAGUGUACCUGAAGAAAAAGCAUCGGCUAACUCCGUGCCAGCAGCCGCGGUAAUACGCAGGAUGCGAGCGUUAUCCGGAUUUGUAGGGUUUAAAGGGUGCGCAGGCGGUCUGUUAAGUCAGCGGUCAAAGCCCGGGGCUCAACCCCGGUCCGCCGUUGAAACUGGCAGUCUCGAGUUGGAGAGAAGUAUGCGGAAUGCGCGGUGUAGCGGUGAAAUGCAUAGAUAUCGCGCAGAACUCCGAUUGCGAAGGCAGCAUGCCGGCUCCACACUGACGCUGAGGCACGAAAGCGUGGGUAUCG
RNAcentral lists this ribosomal RNA (410 nucleotides) under uncultured bacterium. RNAcentral's name for it is "bacterial SSU rRNA". It matches the Rfam family "Bacterial small subunit ribosomal RNA", at positions 362 to 770 of the family's 1533-position model. The record is from RNAcentral.